Molecule: ribosomal RNA, 481 nt
Filed under: uncultured bacterium
Lineage: Bacteria
Description: partial 16S ribosomal RNA
Rfam family: Bacterial small subunit ribosomal RNA
Source: RNAcentral
GACGAACGUUGGCGGCGUGCUUAAUACAUGCAAGUCAACUGAAGCAGUGGUAGCAAUAUCGCUGUGGAGGUGGCGCACGGGUGAGUAACACGUAGGUAAUCUGCCUUCAGGUCUGGCAUAACUCCGGGAAACCGGGGCUAAUAGCAGAUGAUGCAGCGGCUCGACAUCGAGACAGUUGUUAAAGCUAUGGCGCCUGAAGAUGAGCCUGCGUCUGAUUAGCUAGUUGGCGGGGUAACGGCCCACCAAGGCAACGAUCAGUAGCUGGUCUGAGAGGAUGAUCAGCCACACUGGAACUGAGACACGGUCCAGACUCCUACGGGAGGCAGCAGUAAGGAAUAUUGCUCAAUGGGAGAAAUCCUGAAGCAGCAACGCCGCGUGAGGGACGAAGGGCUUUAGCUUGUAAACCUCUGUAGUGAGAGAAAAAAAUCCCAAUCUUUGGGACAUGAUGGUAUCUCAAAAGUAAGCCCCGGCUAACUACGUG